UUCGUCAAACAAGGCGGGAAAAACAAAAUUAAAAUUAAAUUUGAGGUGUUGCCGAGGACUGUGAUUGCAAUGGAGAAGAUUCACGUCAGCGUCCGUGCAAAGCCUCUGUCUCAAGAUGAUGCGAAAACAAGUCCCUGGAGAAUCUCCGGCAACUCCAUCGCCAUUUCCAACCUCUCCAAAUUUGAUUUUGACCAAAUAUUCUGCGGUAGUUGUGGGACAACGGAAGUCUACGAAGCUCGUACCAAGGAUCUCGUGGAGGCCGCAGUUCGGGGAUUCAACGGCACUGUCUUCGCUUACGGGCAAACGAACAGUGGGAAGACUUACACGAUGCGAGGCUCGAAAGCUGAACCUGGAGUCAUUCCUCUCGCUGUUAACGAUUUGUUUCAAAUCAUUCAACAAGACGUGGAUCGAGAAUUUCUUCUUAGAAUGUCAUACAUGGAGAUUUAUAAUGAAGAGAUAAAUGAUUUGUUGGCCCCUGAACAUCGAAAACUGCAGAUUCACGAAAAUCUAGAGCGUGGGAUAUAUGUUGCGGGGUUGCGAGAAGAAAUUGUUGCCUCUCCUCAGCAAGUCCUUAAUCUCAUGGAGUUUGGAGAAUCUCAUAGACAUAUUGGAGAGACAAAUAUGAAUGUGUACAGUAGUAGGUCCCAUACUAUUUUCCGCAUGAUAAUUGAGAGUAGGGAUAGAAGCGAAGAUGAAGAAAGUGGCAGCUCUUGUGAUGCUGUCCGUGUAUCAGUGUUGAACUUAGUGGAUCUUGCUGGGUCAGAGCGUGCUGCAAAAACUGGUGCUGAGGGUGUUCGACUCAAAGAAGGCUCUCACAUAAACAAAAGCUUAAUGACUUUGGGAACUGUAAUUAAAAAGUUGAGUGAAGGUGCUGAGAGUCAGGGGGGUCAUGUUCCAUAUCGAGAUAGUAAGCUGACUCGAAUUUUGCAACCUUCUUUAGGAGGAAAUGCUAGAACAGCUAUAAUAUGUAAUAUCACUCUUGCGCAGAUACAUACAGAUGAAACUAAAAGCAGCCUUCAAUUUGCAAGUAGAGCAUUGCGUGUCACAAAUUGUGCUCAAGUGAAUGAGAUUUUGACCGAUGCUGCUUUAUUAAAGCGCCAAAAGAAAGAGAUUGAAGAUCUUCGUUCCAAAUUGAUGGGUUCUCAUUCAGAGCAUUUGGAAAAGGAGAUUCUGAGCCUUCGAAAUACUUUAUUACAGACUGAACUGGAAAGGGAACGCAUAGCUUUGGAACUAGAGGAGGAAAAGAAAGCUCAAGCUGAAUGGGAGAAAAGAGUAAAGGAACAAGCCAAGAAAAUUGAAAAUUUGAGUUCAAUGGUUCUAUUUUCAAAUAGGGAUGAAAGUCGUGAGCAUAUUAAAAGGGACAAGAGGCGGGAUACAUGGUGUAUAGGAAAACUUUCACAGGAGCAUCCAGGAAAUGUAUACCCUAUCAUCCAACCUAGUGCUUCUACGGUUAAACCUGGGAGACCUAAUCGAGACAUGGGACCACUUCUUCCUUUCGAGGAACUUGUAAAUGAAGAUGUUUACGUGGAUGAGUCCUUUAAGCAAAAGGACAAUAAUAAAGAUGAUGCUAACAAGGAUUGUAAUCUCCCAAACCCAUGUGCUUUAUUGCAUGUAACAAACAGGAAAAAGGCACCACGGAAGAAAAGCUUGCCAAUGCAGGAGGACAACAAAUUUCUAGAAUUGCAAGCAGAAUAUGAGAGUUUGUUUCUAAAAUUUGAAACUGAGAAAACUAUAAGUGAUAUACAGCUUGAGUCAUUGAGAAAACAGCUAAUUGAUUCAAAUUCUUUCCAUUCUAAGGAAUCUGUUGAGUCUGUAAAUUAUGCAAAUAAUGGUUGCUUGAUUGUUGAGAAAAAUGCGAAUUUUAGAGAAUCAGAUGCUAUUCUUGUUAUCAAGAGACUUCAAGAGCAGAUUAAGGUUUUGGAAAUGGAAAACUUGUCAAGCCAACAAAGCUUGGAUAAUGUUGUUGAUCUGGUAGCAGAGCAGAAUAUAUGUGGUAGGGAGAAAUGCAAAGAGCUCUAUGAAGAGCUUAUAAAUGAACAACAGGCAGCUCGAUUGGCUAAUGAGAAACUUACUUCCACUGAAACUGUGAGCAACAUUAAUGAUGGAAAUUUUGACUUUCCAAUCAGUGUUUCCUUGGAAAUUGAAGAAAUUGCAUCGGAAAUUCAAAACUCAAAAGAUGUUGUUCAAAGUGCUAUGUUUAUGGUGGAUGAUGCUAUUAAAAGUUUCUCUGCUCUCUGUGAUACUCUCCUUGUUUUCAAAACCUCAGUAUAUGAGGAUUAUGCAGAUCAAAUUUUAAUCUUGAAUAAUUCUCAGAAUUUGAUUUCUUGCCUAAGAAAGAAAAUAUUUGAGCUUGAAAGUGAGAAGGUUCUUCUAGACAACCAAGUAGCUGAUCUACAGAAGCAUCUUCAGGAAUCAAAAUUAGAUGCUCAGAAGUCCCAAAAUUCUUUGAUGGAUAACUUAGAACAACAGAAAUUUGAAAAUGCAGAGUUGAUUUCUUAUAUUCAAACUCUUGGAAAGGAUUUAUCUUGUUUGACAUCGUCUACAGUGGCCAAGGAUAGAGAAACUACAAGAAAAGAGCUGGAGAAGGUUAAAACCAAGUUAAAAGAAACUGAGUCUAAACUUAAGAUUGCGAUACAAGAGAAAACAAAAAUUGAGGGUGAGAAAGCCUAUGCGGAGCGAGAGAUUAAACAAUUACGUGGCCAAAUAUCUCUUCUUGAACGUGAUAUCAAUAAACGUGAUUCACUUGCAGGAAGAAGACGUGAUUCAAUUGUUGAAAGGGGUUCUAAGAUAUUUGAUCCUAAAAGACCAAAAGGCCUAGAACAGACAUUGCAGGAUGAGCACAAAAAACUGGAAGUUUUGGCAUUUGAAUCAGAAACAAGAAUUGCUUCGUUGGAAGAAGAAAUAACAGCUACGUUGAAGGAGAAAGAAGAGGUGAUAUCUAUUAAUGAAGGUUUGUUGUUAGAACUGGAAGGCUUGACUGAAAAGCUGAACACAUCAACCACUGAACUAUAUCAUUUGAAGGAGGAAAUUUAUGCUCUCAAGCAAAGAUUGGAAGAAUCUGAUAUCAACCAAGAAAAUUUGAAAAGCUCUAUCAAAGUACUAAUGGAAGAAAAGGAAGAGUUGGCUAUGCAACUCACUGAUUCACUUUUGGAAAUAGAGGAGGAAAGGGCAAUAUGGUCUGCCAAAGAGAAAGCAGUACUUCUAGCUAUAGAAGAACACACAAAGUCAAACAAUGUGCAAAUUACAUCAUUAUCAACAGAAUUAUUAGAAUUAUCGAAGGAAAAGGUCCAGGUUGAAGAACUGAGACAGAAACUUUCUUGUAUGGAAGUCAAAAUGCAUGCGGAUGGUGUAACAAACAACAAAGAAAUGGCUAAGCUCAGAAUGAGACUCCGCGGAACACAAGCAAAGCUGGAUGCUUUCCGUUGUAGAUACAAGGAAGCAAUCGAUGAAUCUAUCCUAACAAAUAAGAAGUAUAAAGACCAGUUGGCUUCAAAAUGCAUAGAAGUGCUUAACCUAAAGAAAGAGUUAGCAGCAGUCAAAGGGCAAUAGGAAAUUUGCAUGAUAUGUUAAAGGAUGCAAUCUCGCAUCUUGGGUCAUCUCACUCUAUGUUUGUUAAAAUUACAGGUAUGAAUAUAGUGUGGGCGCUCAGGUAAUAGUUAACUAUCAAGAAUAUCUGAAGCUGUAUUUGAAAUUAGAUUUGAAGAUUUCUGAAGGUAAUCUUAUUUUAUUUAAUGUAUCUCUCUUAUGAUAUAGGAACUUUAUUAUAUUUGAUGAAGUUAAGUGAAUAAAGUGUUUGAAGGGAAAAAACAAUUGAACCUUUAGAGGCUAUGUAAAUAAGACUGUUGUUGGGGCUUCAGAUGUAAUUAGAAAAGGGCAAGCAAUUUUGGUGAUGAAA
Molecule: RNA transcript, 3895 nt
Organism: Vigna radiata var. radiata (mung bean)
Lineage: Eukaryota; Viridiplantae; Streptophyta; Magnoliopsida; Fabales; Fabaceae
Gene name: kinesin-like protein KIN-7O
Exons: 30
Source: RefSeq, a predicted model, not a curated record